Molecule: ribosomal RNA, 460 nt
Filed under: uncultured bacterium
Lineage: Bacteria
Description: partial 16S ribosomal RNA
Rfam family: Bacterial small subunit ribosomal RNA
Source: RNAcentral
CCUACGGGUGGCAGCAGUGAGGAAUAUUGGUCAAUGGGCGCGAGCCUGAACCAGCCAAGCAGCGUGAAGGAUGACUGCCCUACGGGUUGUAAACUUCUUUUAUAAAGGAAUAAAGUGAGGUACGUGUGCCUUUUUGUAUGUCCUUUAUGAAUAAGGAUCGGCUAACUCCGUGCCAGCAGCCGCGGUAAUACGGAGGAACCGAGCGUUAUCCGGAUUUAUUGGGUGUAAAGGGAGCGUAGAUGGGUUGUUAAGUUAGUUGUGAAAUUUUGCGGCUCAACCGUAAGACUGCAAUUGAUACUGGCAGUCUUGAGUACAGUAGAGGUAGGCGGAAUUCGUAGUGUAGCGGUGAAAUGCUUAGAUAUUACGAAGAACUCCGAUUGCGAAGGCAGCUUACUAAACUGCCACUGACAUUGAUGCUCGAAAGUGUGGGUAUCAAACAGGAUUAGAUACCCUUGUAGUC